Molecule: transfer-messenger RNA, 362 nt
Filed under: Planctomycetia bacterium
Lineage: Bacteria; Pseudomonadati; Planctomycetota; Planctomycetia
Rfam family: transfer-messenger RNA
About the family: Bacterial tmRNA, also known as 10Sa RNA or SsrA, is named for its dual tRNA and mRNA-like properties. Its role is to liberate the mRNA from a stalled ribosome.
Source: RNAcentral
GGGGGCGACUUGGAUUCGACCGGGCAGUUGAAGUGGGGGUUGCGUGUCGUGGUUUGUCAGCGUGCCACGUUAAAAGCCGACAAAACAACAAAUGCCAAUAAUAACAACUUGGUAAUGGCUGCCUAAGAAAAGGUGCCCGGGCGAUGAAAUCCCUGACAGACGGAGUUCAAAGUUGCGUAUUAAAAGUCUGGAUCGUUCCGGCUCACUGGAGGUACGACCGGGACUAAAUUUUGUUCCUAUCUGGUUCCCAGGCCGGCUUGUCGGUACUCUGGCAUGGGGACGAGACUUAAAGAAUCGACUACGCAUGUAGACGCUCUCAUGGAUAUGUUGCGGGACGCGGGUUCGAUACCCGCCGCCUCCAA